GAUGAACGCUGGCGGCGUGCCUAAUACAUGCAAGUAGAACGCUGAAGGAGGAGCUUGCUCUUCUGGAUGAGUUGCGAACGGGUGAGUAACGCGUAGGUAACCUGCCUGGUAGCGGGGGAUAACUAUUGGAAACGAUAGCUAAUACCGCAUGACAACAGUUAUUGCAUGAUAACUGUUUAAAAGGGGCAACUGCUCCACUACCAGAUGGACCUGCGUUGUAUUAGCUAGUUGGUGAGGUAACGGCUCACCAAGGCGACGAUACAUAGCCGACCGGAGAGGGGGAUCGGCCACACUGGGACUGAGACACGGCCCAGACUGCUACGGGAGGCAGCAGGAGGGAAUCGUCGGCAAGGGACGGAAGUCUGACCGAGCAACGCCGCGUGAGUGAAGAAGGUUGUCGGAUCGUAAAGCUCGGUUGUAAGAGAAGAACGAGUGUGAGAGUGGAAAGUUCACACUGUGACGGUAUCUUACCAGAAAGGGACGGCUAACUACGUG
This 495-nucleotide ribosomal RNA is filed under the name uncultured bacterium. RNAcentral describes it as "partial 16S ribosomal RNA". It matches the Rfam family "Bacterial small subunit ribosomal RNA", at positions 28 to 507 of the family's 1533-position model. The record is from RNAcentral.